Molecule: long non-coding RNA, 1151 nt
Filed under: Pogona vitticeps (central bearded dragon)
Lineage: Eukaryota; Metazoa; Chordata; Lepidosauria; Squamata; Agamidae
Description: lncRNA (ENSPVIG00000006282.1)
Source: RNAcentral
AUGAAUAGCUGGUAUACUGAAGGAGGGGUAAGUAAAAGCGUUAAUGUUUUACCGAAUCCACUUGUCCAAAGGUUGACGAAAUUAAUUUCUCGGCUUGCAAGUAGUCACCAAGCUGGUCCCCACUUAGAGCAGGUAUAUGAACAGUACUGUAAACAAUUAAGAUGGUGGGAGAAGAUUAACCUGAUUGUUACCCACAGUAUGACACGGAAAAAGUCAGUGGCAUGGAUAUAUUACAGCCACGGCACUGUUGCUGUUCGAGAGCUCUGGAAACUGCAUUUUCAACUUAGUCACCUACAAGAUGCAUCUCUGGGGAACAGGAAAAUCAUGCACCCACAUGGGUCCAGAUGGCAUCAGCGCUGCUGACGAAGAUGAUCCACACAUUGUUAAAAUGACCCCUUCUCUGCUCUGAACCGAGUCAGCUCCAAUUGCAUGGACAUCUUAGGUCAAGAUGUCAGCUACACAUGAGGCAGUUUACAACGGGUACGAACCUCCUUGGGAGAUACUUGGCCAAGGAACAGAUUCUGGCACAUUUUUUUUUUUUUUUGGAGGGGAUUGAAAAGUUGGUUUCCUCAGCACCUCCUCUGUUUCAUGCUGGUUAGCAUUGCCAGAGAUUUCUUCAUUUAAAAGAAUCCUUCCCCUCUUCAUUAAACAUCUGUUUAUUCAAUAUGAUUCUCCAGAGAUAGCAAUUUGAUGGCUCAACAGAUGAUUAGAUGUUCUUCCUCACCCCUAUCCUUGGUCAGAACUAUUUACUGCUAUUAAAUACCACAUUGAUGAAAAAACAAAUACUGUGGGCUCCUGUCUUUUAAGCUACUAUGGUCUCUUCUGUUGUGUGUGCAUACUACACUAGAUAGCCCAACGUUUGGGUCAAAAUAAGAUAGAUGCCCCCGUCUUCAAGUGCUCUAGCAUGUUUACUCAAUAUUUUAUCCUAGUCCUUUCUAUUUGUUUACAUGAAAAACAAACCUUGAGAAGAUGGAGAUCCUGUUCUUGGGAGGGCAUCCUGAUCAGUUAAGGGGGCCUGUUACACGAUCUUGAUGAGGUCACUCUCCCCUUGAAGGAUCAGGUGUGAAAUCUGGGUGUGCUUCUGGAUCUGGCCCUCUUGAUGGAGAAACAGAUCCUGGCUGUGGCCAAAUCUGAGGCAGAGUGCACAACUC